GAUGAACGCUGGCGGCGUGCCUAAUACAUGCAAGUCGAGCGAAUGGAUUAAGAGCUUGCUCUUAUGAAGUUAGCGGCGGACGGGUGAGUAACACGUGGGUAACCUGCCCAUAAGACUGGGAUAACUCCGGGAAACCGGGGCUAAUACCGGAUAACAUUUUGAACCGCAUGGUUCGAAAUUGAAAGGCGGCUUCGGCUGUCACUUAUGGAUUGACCCGCGUCGCAUUAGCUCGUUGGUGAGGUAACGGCUCACCAAGAGAACGAUGCGUAGCCGACCUGAGAGGGUGAUCGGCUACACUGGGAAUGAGACACGGCCCAGACUCCUACGGGAGGCAGCAGUAGGGAAUCUUCCGCAAUGGACGAAAGUCUGACGGAGCAACGCCGCGUGAGUGAUGAAGGCUUUCGGGUCGUAAAACUCUGUUGUUAGGGAAGAACAAGUGCUAAUUGAAUAAGCUGGCACCUUGACGGUACCUAACCAGAAAGCCACGGCUAACUACGUGCCAGCCGCCGCGGUAA
This 515-nucleotide ribosomal RNA is filed under the name uncultured bacterium. RNAcentral's name for it is "partial 16S ribosomal RNA". It matches the Rfam family "Bacterial small subunit ribosomal RNA", at positions 28 to 523 of the family's 1533-position model. The record is from RNAcentral.